This 195-nucleotide ribosomal RNA is filed under the name Escherichia coli. RNAcentral describes it as "partial 23S ribosomal RNA". It matches the Rfam family "Bacterial large subunit ribosomal RNA", at positions 2736 to 2925 of the family's 2925-position model. Lineage: Bacteria; Pseudomonadati; Pseudomonadota; Gammaproteobacteria; Enterobacterales; Enterobacteriaceae. The record is from RNAcentral.
CACUGCCCGGUAGCUAAAUGCGGAAGAGAUAAGUGCUGAAAGCAUCUAAGCACGAAACUUGCCCCGAGAUGAGUUCUCCCUGACUCCCUGAGAGUCCUGAAGGAACGUUGAAGACGACGACGUUGAUAGGCCGGGUGUGUAAGCGCAGCGAUGCGUUGAGCUAACCGGUACUAAUGAACCGUGAGGCUUAACCUU